GGUCCUCGCCGCGCGCAGUGCUCGGGCCGGAGCUCGAGGCGCUGCUUACCGUCGCCAGAGCUAGGAGACGCCGCGGCCGCCGCUCGGUCGCCUCGGGCUUCGCGUCGCGCCGUGUCCGCCUCCUCUGCCCCACCCGAUCGGCAGCGUAGGCUCUACCUGGCCCGCGGCCUCGCUGUCCGCGGCGGGGCAGGCGUUGUUGCUGCGGUGAACCCCUGCCCUGCCCUCCGGUAGCUGGCUGCUGGCUCCUGGCCCUGAGUUCUUGGUGAAGCUGGGAAGGGGAUGAGAAUAGGGAACUGAAGGACGGGGAGAGGUGUUCCUUGCUGGGUCCACUGUAAAGCUGUGCAUGUUGACUGAACUUGGAAUGGAAGCCUGCCUCUAAGGGGACUUCCUCCCGGUCUGUGGGAUGGAGGCCUUGGUUCUGUCAG
Long non-coding RNA from Psammomys obesus (fat sand rat), 425 nucleotides. RefSeq lists it as uncharacterized. The transcript has 3 exons. NCBI's taxonomy places the organism in Eukaryota, Metazoa, Chordata, Mammalia, Rodentia, Muridae. The record is from RefSeq and is a predicted model, not a curated record.